AUUGAACGCUGGCGGCAUGCCUUACACAUGCAAGUCGAACGGCAGCACGGGUGCUUGCACCUGGUGGCGAGUGGCGAACGGGUGAGUAAUACAUCGGAACGUACCUUAUCGUGGGGGAUAACGCAGCGAAAGCUGUGCUAAUACCGCAUACGCCCUGAGGGGGAAAGCGGGGGAUCGAAAGACCUCGCGCGAUUAGAGCGGCCGAUGCCUGAUUAGCUUGUUGGUGGGGUAAAAGCCCACCAAGGCGACGAUCAGUAGCUGGUCUGAGAGGACGAUCAGCCAAACUGGGACUGAGACACGGCCCAGACUCCUACGGGAGGCAGCAGUGGGGAAUUUUGGACAAUGGGGGAAACCCUGAUCCAGCAAUGCCGCGUGAGUGAAGAAGGCCUUCGGGUUGUAAAGCUCUUUUGUCAGGGAAGAAACACCGGCUCUAACACAGUCCGGGAAUGACGGUACCUGAAGAAUAAGCACCGGCUAACUACGUGCCAGCCGCCGCGGUAA
RNAcentral lists this ribosomal RNA (501 nucleotides) under uncultured bacterium. RNAcentral's name for it is "partial 16S ribosomal RNA". It matches the Rfam family "Bacterial small subunit ribosomal RNA", at positions 29 to 523 of the family's 1533-position model. The record is from RNAcentral.